RNAcentral lists this ribosomal RNA (443 nucleotides) under uncultured bacterium. RNAcentral describes it as "partial 16S ribosomal RNA". It matches the Rfam family "Bacterial small subunit ribosomal RNA", at positions 338 to 795 of the family's 1533-position model. The record is from RNAcentral.
CCUACGGGAGGCAGCAGUGGGGAAUAUUGGGCAAUGGACGCAAGCCUGACCCAGCAACGCCGCGUGAAGGAAGAAGGCUUUCGGGUUGUAAACUUCUUUUAUUAGGGACGAAAAAAGUGACGGUACCUGACGAAUAAGCCACGGCUAACUACGUGCCAGCAGCCGCGGUAAUACGUAGGUGGCAAGCGUUGUUCGGAUUGACUGGGUGUAAAGGGCGUGUAGGCGGGGAGGCAAGUCAGAUGUGAAAACCACGGGCUCAACCUCGGGCCUGCAUUUGAAACUGUAGUUCUUGAGUACAGGAGAGGAAGGUGGAAUUCCUAGUGUAGCGGUGAAAUGCGUAGAUAUUAGGAGGAACAUCAGUGGCGAAGGCGGCUUGCUGGACUGCAACUGACGCUGAGGCGCGAAAGCGUGGGGAGCAAACAGGAUUAGAUACCCCUGUAGUC